Molecule: long non-coding RNA, 6613 nt
Filed under: Lactuca sativa (garden lettuce)
Lineage: Eukaryota; Viridiplantae; Streptophyta; Magnoliopsida; Asterales; Asteraceae
Description: long non-coding RNA (LSAT_LNC010268)
Source: RNAcentral
UAAAAUUAAAAGUUAUUUCAUCAGUUUAAUCACCCUUUGUAACAUGUUGAGCAAAGGAUUACAUGCAAAAAUAGUUAUUUACCAAUUCAUAAAGUACAUAUAAAUUAUAAUAGGUAUAAUUUAUGAUACAUAGAGCGAUAAUUCAUAUGAAUACACUGUUUUACAUGCAACAAGGGUUUUAAUUCAAAACAAAUCAAGGGUUUACACUUAUCAAAUACAUGUUCGGGAUACUAAGUCAAGAACAUACUGUCAAUCAUUUAUUUCAGAAUGAUUGGGUUUUCAUAACUAAUAUACAUGUAACGUUUAUAUGCUUUUUAUGAGACAUUCAAUUCAGGUUGUUUAGAUUCAGUCUAGACAACCAAGGUAAAGCCCUGACAUUAUAACCAGAAUCUCCAGUCCGGGGAUCGAAACAAGUUGUGUGUAGAUCUAUAUCGGGAUUGACAACCCCGCACUCAGGCUGCUAGCUACAGUCAGGCAUACACGCCAAUGAGUGGCAAUUGUUAUCAACAGUUUAAGCGCUCACAAGGCGUUUGUUUCAGGCGUUCAUGUCUUAGUAUGGUUAUAAUAACUCAUUAAAAAGAUAUUAACCACACGUUAGUGUAUAACAACUAAAGUACAUCUUCAAAGUACCAGUUUACAAAAUACAAAGUACAAUGGUAUACUACAGUUUUCAAUAACAGCUGGUGAAGCCAGGCACACUCUCAAAUACAAGUUUUACAAAUACAAUGGUUUACAAAUAGGACGGUUUCAUGGGAAUAAAACUACUUUUCACAUACCACAGAAAAUAUGGAAUUUUCUAGAACGGUUUUCUUAUUCAAAACACAAAGACACCCAUGCAAACAUAAAGACUUAUGAACUCACUCAACUUAUUUUUGAUACUCUCUUUUCAAAUUACUUGUAUUCUCAGGGAAAUAAUAACAGGUACUCCCCGAGCUUUUUGAGUAAAUGGAGCCAUUAUGAGACUUAUCUUCUUCCUUUGUAUAACUGUUUUGGUUUCAAUAUACAAUGAUUGAACACAUGUAAAUAUUAUACUUUUAAAUACAAUGGUUGUUUGUACUUUGAUUACUAUGAUGCAUGUGUUGUGAUACUACAAAUGAAGUCCUCCACCCCCGGACGUUUCCGCCGUCUGGUUUGGGGGUGUGACAGAUUGGUAUCAGAGCAUUGUUUAUAGUGAACUCAGUAUAUCAAUCCAUAAAAGAUAUACAAACUAUAAAUACAUUCGGGCUGAGAGCUCUGACUACAAGUAUACUUUUAAGAAUUCUAAGUAUUUUUUAUAAAGAAGUAUACUAACCCUCAUACCUACAAGUACAUAGUCAUAAGAACUUAAAAGUAUUUGGAUGUUGAACAUUACAGUUAAACCCGGGCAGUUAUGUAAUCAUAUCUAGAAUUAAUAUAGCAUGAUUGACUAUAUUGAUUUCAGACAUGACCAACAUGUGUUUGGGAGUGAUAGUAGUGUUGUGACAUGUCUAAAACUUACCAACUACCAAAGAAACUCUAAGAACAGAACACAAAAUACUAUAAGAAUAUUAUAAACAUCCAUAUGCUUUAGUUUUCUUUUCAGGCAUUUCUCAUAACCUCAUUCUCGUACAGACACAAUGGCAGGACAUCAUCUACCAGGGGACCCUUAUUUUCCAAAUCAUGGCAAUCAAGGAUGGAUAGAGGAAGAUCCGGAGGAGGAUCCAAAAGAAGAUUCAGAUGAAGAACCGUUUGAGUACAGCGAAUCAAGUGGUACAGAUACAGAGCCACAAGUCUGCAACCCGGGGAUACGUCCCCCGAGACAAGAGGAAGCAAUCCCCAUACCCGAAUGGGGCCAAUACAAAAACUAUUGGAGUCGACAAGACGGCCAACGCCCUCCCUACGGAAUGGCAUGGGGUUUUUAUAAUGUCUCAGAAGGAGGAACAGCCGACAGAGCUCUUCCAGUUAUAGUGAACCGAAUUGCCCGACAAUUCGAUCAAUCAAGGAUGUCAAUCAAUCGUAUCCUAGAAGUGAAUGCGGCUGCACAGGCUAACGCUGCUGAUAUCCUUCGUCUUGACGAGAUGCAAGAUGAUACCCAGCACCAUACUGAGGCCCUUCAAAGGCAACUUAAUGCUGCUGAAUCAGAAAUCAAAGAACUAAGGGAGCAUCAAGCUGCCCAAGAAAGGCGCUGGAAAUCGCAAGAUGAAGCGGAACCCAGUAACCGUCGCAGCAACCGUCGCAAGUAGUGUUUACACUACUUUUCUAGUUUAAUAUAGUGAAUGUAUAGACUACUUUCAGGACAUGUACAAAAUCAAGCAUCAAUAAAAUAAUAAGGACCUUACUUCAACAAGAGCUAUUACAAUUUUCACAAACCUUCCAUUCCAAAGUUUUGCGAUUAAGGAUAUGUUCCAGUGUUUUUCGAUACGACCGCGAAUAAUUUUAUUUUCGGUAGGUCGGUUUAAUGUCGAUACUUUCAUACUAUUAUGGACCUGCUUGAAGGUCACAUAUACAGAUUACAUAGAUAUCAACUCAAUCGACAUGUAUUUAGAUACUCUUUGAAAAAUAACCACUCCAGUUUAUAUUACCCUAUUGCAAGUUAUACUUGCAGUGGACAUCUAUUUUCAAUUCUUUACAAGAUUCUUGUUGAAUUAAGUGUUUAAGUUGAGAGAUAUCAAAUUCAUAUUCAUUCUUGAUAUCUCACUAUCUUUUUAUUGACUUUUAUAGAAAAAAAGAGAUGCCUCCUCAUAGGAAUCCAAGGCGUAACAAUGAACCGGAAGCACCGAUGCCACCUCCACCACCACCCCCUCAAUUCGAUGUUGCCAUGUUCCAAGCGGCAGUCACGACAGCUGUAGCGGCUGCCUUAUCUAAUAUCAAUGUUGUCGGUACUAGUGGACCGGGAGCUGAUCCACAUCCUUCUAGCCUUGUCGAGGGUCAUGAGCACUCGAGGGAGUGCACUUAUAAAGACUUCUCGAAUGCCAAACCCAGGACCUUUAACGGAACUGGAGGAGUAAUGGUUUUAAGGCAGUGGAUUGAGAAGAUAGAAGCAGUCUUUGAAAUCUUCUCCUCUCCAGAGGGUAGCAAAGUUAAAUUUGCUGCCUUUACUUUCUUAGAUAAAGCCCUAACAUGGUGGAAUGGCCAUGUCAAGUCACUAACUUUGGUAGUGGCUAAUACUAUAAGCUGGGAGAACCUAAAAACCAUGCUGAUGCGUGAAUACUGCCCACGAGGGGAAAUUUAGAAAUUAGAACAAGAACUCUGGGGUAUUACUAUGGCCGGUGCCGACAUAACGACUUACACGAAUCGAUUCUGUGACUUGGCGAUUCUGUGUCCGGAAAUGGUUGCUCCAGAGAGCAAAAAGAUUGAAAGGUAUAUUUGGGGACUGUCGCCCCAGAUACAAGCAAGUGUCAUUGCAUCUAAACCUGUCACCUUUGACAGUGCCAAGGAACUGGCACAGUCACUUAUUGACCACGGAAACCGUCAAAACUCUGUGGUUACUGCCCCAGAACAACCUAGGGAGAACAACAACAACAUCAAGAAGAAGGGUUAGAACAAAAGGAAGGGAAAAUCUCCUCUGGAACCUUCAAAGAAGCAACAAAUAGUGGCAGUCCAUGCUACUACUGUGCCUGCUACCAUACCUACUACUGCACCUGCUGUUGCCCGUAACUACCCUGGACCAACUAAGCCCUAUGCCGGUAGUCUGCCUAAAUGCAACAAGUGCAAUUUUCACCACACCGGAAAUUGCCCUGAAAUGCAGUGUCGUAACUGCAACAGGAAAGGGCAUAUUGCCCGAUUCUGUCGAACACCACCUCAACCCCUUAACCAAGUACCUACAGCUGGAGUAAGUCGAGCAUGCUACCAAUGCGGUGAUGUGGGGCAUUUCAAGAAAGAUUGUCCAAAAGUUGGAAAUGCCAGUGGGGUUGGGAGAAUUCUGGCACUAGGUUAGGAAGAAGCGGUGGCAGACCCUACUGUGGUCACGGGUACGUUCCUUCUCAACAAUACUUAUGCAUGCAUUCUUUUUGAUUGUGGUGCCGAGAGCAGCUUCACGAGCCAUAACUUUAAACAUCUACUAAACCUGAACUCCCAACCACUAAAUAAAACCUUCACAGUAGAAAUGUGUCACACCCCAAAACCACGAACGGCGGAAACAUUCAGGGGUGGAGGACGUCAUGUACAGUAUCACAACAGUGAAAUAUAAUAAACAAGCAACAACAUCGUCCAUUGCAUUCUAAGUAAAGUUUUAAUACAUGUGUGUUCUUUCGCUGUAGUAAGACACCAAAAAUAUACAAUCAAAAUAAAAGACGAGACUUGUCUGCUCCGUCUUCUCAAAACCUGGCCUCCAUACCUGUCUACUGAUGCCCUGAGAAUACAAGUUAAUUUGAAAGAGAGUAUCAGCUUUAAAGCUGGUGAAUUCAUAAGUAUUUAAGUGUCAUUGUCUUGCUUUGAAAAGCUGUUUUAAAAUUUAUGUAAACCUUUAAAUGUAAAUGUUGAUGUAAGUAUGAAAAGCCCUAGAAAAUCCCUUAUUUUCUAUCAGUGUGAGAUGUAGUCUUCUACCAAGACCCGAAUGUUUUGUUAUGACAAUGUGGUCUUCUACCAAGACCCGAAUGUUUUGUUAGUAAAAUGAUAGUUUUUCCUUCUAUUGACUAUUAUUAAAGUACUUAGUCUAACUCAUCGUUUAUGUGAAUGUAUCACAAAAUAAUGUAAACAGGAAAAUGUACUACUGUAAGUGUUGUCACUGGGUACUAGGACCAACACAACAUCGCGUUGAGCGAAAAAUGCAACCUAAUGAACAUCCGAAGAUUGUACAGAAAAGUCAUAAUGUAAGUGUCAUCACUGGGUACUAGGAGUAACACAACAUCGCAAUAAGCGAAAAUUAUAACCUUAUGAACAAUCGAAGAUUGUCCACUUGUCCUCUGUAGCAGCAUCAGGUGGGUGGAGGGGUUAGCCCCGGUUAUCGAUCUUCCUAAUAUAUGUAGUAACCUUAGACCUCCGUAGAUGGUCAUCGACCACUGGUGCUAAUCAGUGGGGUUCGGAAUGGUAAGUCCCGCCGAGAUAUCCCAUUGAACCGGGAUAGGAAAGAUAAUUUACACGGAAAGUACUAAUAAAUCAUCCUCGUGUUUCUAAGUACAAGUAUCCAGGUAAGUGAAUAUAGGAUAAUGCACCUAUGUAAAAGUGUUCCUGAAUGGUAUUCGUGUAAGUGUGUUCGUGUAACAGGUAAGUAUAUGUAUAUGUACUCAUGUAUCAGGUAAUCAAAUGUAAAUGUACUCAUGUAUCAGGUAAUGUACUGGUGUAGACUCAUGAAUGAACUGACUCUUGUGUGGUUCCUUGUAAUAGGAAUUAUGUUCGAUAUCUCCAAAUUAUCCCUAUGAUAAUUUACUGGAAGGUAUUUGGUUGUUCAAAUAGGUUUAUACACUCUUACUACUCAAGGGUGUGAGAAACUAAAUGAAAGUUGUACACUAUAACAACAAUACAUAUAUAAGAAUAUAAGUGUAUAUGCAUAGUUUAGUUCAAGAAUGAAAAAUGGUUUUGUAAGAAAUUUUAUGGGUUUUGAACAAUAAUUAACAAUCACUUGAUGUCAUUUUUAAUAUACCUUUCAAAGGUAAAACAUUUGAUAACAAUGUGUUUUUAAGAUUUAAAACCAUUCCACACCCUUAAGCUUAUAUACAACCCUUAAAGCCCCGGUAUCAAGACUCGAUCCCAGAGUAAGCCGUGAAGCCCCGAAAUUCUCGAGAAUUCAUCCUCUAUCCUAUCAAAACUCUGCCCGAUUUGAGCCGGUUUCUCGACGAAUAAACUCCUUUUCGUGAAACGAAACCCUGUCCGAAUUACCACCUAUCAAGUGAGUUCAUACCCCCGUAUUUUGAUAAUUUCUACUGUUUUAAGGGGGGGAAAUACAAGUAUAACACAACAACUUUGUGUUAUAAAUAAAUGAUUUCAAAUCACGUUAAAAUGAUUUUAAAGCAUCGAAAAUACUUCAAAUUUUGAACUGUUUUAUAAACUUAUAUUUUUCCCAAAUAUACAUAUUUGUAUAUAUAAUUUAAUAUAAAUAAGAUUUAAAAGGCUUAGGACUAAUAAUUCAUUCUAGGUCCCUCUCCUUGUUUGGAUGUGGACUUAUAGUACCAGUUAUUUGUCCGAAGGUCGUUCCAAUUUUACUUAUAUAUAAAGUUGUAUAUGUAUAUAACAUUAAAAGUUAUUUCAUCAGUUUAAUCACCCUUUGUAACAUGUUGAGCAAAGGAUUACAUGCAAAAAUAGUUAUUUACCAAUUCAUAAAGUACAUAUAAAUUAUAAUAGGUAUAAUUUAUGAUACAUAGAGCGAUAAUUCAUAUGAAUACACUGUUUUACAUGCAACAAGGGUUUUAAUUCAAAACAAAUCAAGGGUUUACACUUAUCAAAUACAUGUUCGGGAUACUAAGUCAAGAACAUACUGUCAAUCAUUUAUUUCAGAAUGAUUGGGUUUUCAUAACUAAUAUACAUGUAACGUUUAUAUGCUUUUUAUGAGACAUUCAAUUCAGGUUGUUUAGAUUCAGUUUAGACAACCAAGGUAAAGCCCUGACAUUAUAACCAGAAUCUCCAGUCCGGGGAUCGAAACAAGUUGUGUGUAGAUCUAUAUUGGGAUUGACAACCCCGCACUCAGGCUGCUAGCUACAGUCAGGCAUACACGCCAAUG